This 250-nucleotide ribosomal RNA is filed under the name uncultured bacterium. RNAcentral's name for it is "partial 16S ribosomal RNA". It matches the Rfam family "Bacterial small subunit ribosomal RNA", at positions 524 to 773 of the family's 1533-position model. The record is from RNAcentral.
UACGUAGGUGGCAAGCGUUGUCCGGAUUUAUUGGGUUUAAAGGGUGCGUAGGUGGUUUUAUAAGUCAGUGGUGAAAGCUGGUUGCUCAACAAUCAAGUUGCCAUUGAUACUGUUAGACUUGAGAGAAGUGGAGGUUCAUGGAAUGGAUGGUGUAGCGGUGAAAUGCAUAGAUAUCAUCCAGAACGUCGAUUGCGAAGGCAGUGGGCUGUACUUUUUCUGACACUGAGGCACGAAAGCGUGGGGAUCAAAC